UGUUUGAUACAUUGCAUUGCCUUUGGAUGGGCAGCAAAAUGUCCCAUGUGAACUUGGAAAAAAACCUGAAAGAUGCUCAGAAGUAAAAUAAGACAGAAGAGUAUCCUCAAAGUACAUGGUGACCAGAGCUAAUCUUCCAAGUGUCUGUUGACCAUGAUCUUCAUUUUCUGAAGACUACCCAGAGUCACACUUUACCCUCUCUUUCAUGGUUAAGAUGAAGCAUCUGCUGCCUACUUUCUUCAUUAGCAUCAUAAAGAGCUUGAGUUUAAAAGCUAGAAGGAUGGUGAAAGAGUGCAGCAUGCACUUGAAAGACUAGGCUGCCCUGAGCUUCACAUUCUCCACCUGCCUCUCCUUUGUGAUGUGAACAAGAUCCAGCAGAGGACUUUCUCUCCUCAACUG
Molecule: long non-coding RNA, 399 nt
Organism: Oenanthe melanoleuca
Lineage: Eukaryota; Metazoa; Chordata; Aves; Passeriformes; Muscicapidae
Exons: 3
Source: RefSeq, a predicted model, not a curated record